GGGGUUGACCGGUUUUGACAGCGGGUAGAAGUGGUUUGUAAGCAUGCAGUGCGUCGUUGUCCGGCACUUAAAUCUCGGAUGAUAACAAUUAACUGGCGAAAAUACUUACGCUCUCGCUGCUUAAUCGAAGUAUAGUAGAUUUUAUAGCUUUAUCCUUACACUAGGUGUUUGGACGAGAUAUCACCCGGAAGCUGUGGCUUCGAAGCAAUCCGAAACGGUGGUACAGCAAUAUCGGAGAUAGUUUGAAGUAAGUCUCGGACUUCAAAUGAAAUUAAGGGAAUAAGCUUAACGUAGGUGGCUUCGGUCUUGCGGUAAGUCGAAAAUAAAGGCGAAGAUAAGCAUGUAGAAAGCAGAUUAAUUCCUCGUUUGGACGAGGGUUCGAAUCCCUCCAGCUCCACAG
This 400-nucleotide transfer-messenger RNA is filed under the name Dysgonamonadaceae bacterium. It matches the Rfam family "transfer-messenger RNA". From Rfam's summary of the family: Bacterial tmRNA, also known as 10Sa RNA or SsrA, is named for its dual tRNA and mRNA-like properties. Its role is to liberate the mRNA from a stalled ribosome. Lineage: Bacteria; Pseudomonadati; Bacteroidota; Bacteroidia; Bacteroidales; Dysgonomonadaceae. The record is from RNAcentral.